Molecule: ribosomal RNA, 333 nt
Filed under: uncultured Desulfofrigus sp.
Lineage: Bacteria; Pseudomonadati; Thermodesulfobacteriota; Desulfobacteria; Desulfobacterales; Desulfobacteraceae
Description: bacterial SSU rRNA
Rfam family: Bacterial small subunit ribosomal RNA
Source: RNAcentral
GAUGAACGCUAGCGACAGGCCUAACACAUGCAAGGUCGGGGGCAGCAUUAUCGAAAGCUUGCUUUUGAUAGAUGGCGACCGGCGCACGGGUGAGUAACGCGUGAAUAAUCUACCCCUGAAUUUGGGAUAACAGUUCGAAAGGGCUGCUAAUACCGGAUGACAUAAUCCUUACCACGGUUUGGAUUAUCAAAGAGGGCCUCUCCUUGGAAGCUCUUGUUUGGGGAUGAGUUCGCGUACCAUUAGCUUGUUGGUGGGGUAAUGGCCUACCAAGGCUUCGAUGGUUAGCUGGUCUGAGAGGAUGAUCAGCCACACUGGAACUGACACACGGUCCAG